GUCUGUUUACAUGCAUAACUUUCUCCGACUUUCUAGGACGUGUUUUAUGCCACUUCUUUUUCUGUCUCAUUUUGUCCACCACACUUUUAACGUUGUACAUGAGUGCACAAAGGGCAGACGGUUUAAAGACCAGCGUACCCGAAGAUCCAGUGCCGGAACAUAGUUCACUCCUUGUAUGGUCCCUCUGGUUCCCGUGAUCGAGCUUGCCCACGGACUGGACAUUCCCAAAUCAUUUUUUUAGAUCUUUAAGAUGGAAAUUGUAGCUGCCAUUAUGAUGUGCAGUCAUGUUUUCUAAUGAUCGUAAGUCUUCAACUAUACAAAGUAUAUGCGCUUAUGGCUGAUAUACCAGUUACUAUGGUAAUCUAAUUAGUUACUAUGCUCAUCUAAUUAGUUACUAUGGUCAUCUACGUCACAGCAGCUCAGACGAGGCACCAAGCAGUGUGGGCGGGAAGCGUUUCCACAGACGCGGAAGGAGAUUUUCGCGACAAAGUUCUAAAGCAGGGGUGUCCAAAGUGCGGCCCGGGGGCCAUUUGCGGCCCGCAGGUAAUUUAUUAACGGCCCCACGACACAUUCUAAAAAUACGAUGAAAAAAAACAAAAAAAAAACAUAAAAAGUGGUAUAAAAGAGCAAACAGGUGAAAUGUAACAAGAAAAUGUUGCAUUAUUUACUCUAAUAACACAAAGCUGCCAUGCAGGCUGUUUCUUUCUUUAAAAAAUAAUAAUGAAUCAAAAUCAAUGUCAUUAUGAAUUAUUGACCUAUUCAAGGCUCCAUUUACUUCACAUUAAAUAGUCCACUUUGAGAUAUUUUGGGGGGAAAAUGUUGCCUAUUUUUUGGUUGCCAUUUAAAAAACUUUGUUUUUUAAAGAAGGGCCUAAAACGAACAAA
Entelurus aequoreus (snake pipefish) is the source of this 884-nucleotide long non-coding RNA. RefSeq lists it as uncharacterized. The transcript is spliced from 3 exons. NCBI's taxonomy places the organism in Eukaryota, Metazoa, Chordata, Actinopteri, Syngnathiformes, Syngnathidae. The record is from RefSeq and is a predicted model, not a curated record.